CUUGGUCAUUUAGAGGAAGUAAAAGUCGUAACAGGUUUCCGUAGGUGAACCUGCGGAAGGAUCAUUACCGUGUGAACCGUGUCGAGGGUUCGCCCUCGGCUUCGCACGCCCCCUGCGUAUGCAUCUGGUUCUUCGGCGUGGACGUUCGAGACUUGUCAUGAGUUUCGGCCGUCGCCCUCCUUCCUUCGGGGAGGAAGGUGACGUGCACCCGCCGAAAGACAUCAAAACCUACCUUUUUUAGAUGAUGUCUGAGCAUUUUGAGAAAUCAAAUAAAACUUCAACGAUGGAUCUCUUGGUUCCAGGAUCGAUGAAGAACGCAGCGAAAUCGAUAAGUAAUGUGAAUUGCAGAAUUCAGUGAAUCAUCGAGUCUUUGGAGCACAUUGCGCCCCUUGGCAUUCCGAGGGGCACGCCUGUUCGAGCGUCAUCAGACCAUCAAGCUCCGCUUGGUAUUGGGUCACCCAUCCACCGGAUGGGACCUCAAUGAUGUUGGCGGUACGGCCCGACCCAAACGUGACGACAUCAAGUGAGGGAAAGGAACGAACCUGCCCAAUCACCCUUUAUUUUUUCAAGGUGACCUCGGAUCAGGUGGGGAUACCCGCUGAACUUAAGCAUAUCAAUAACGGAGGA
RNAcentral lists this ribosomal RNA (627 nucleotides) under uncultured fungus. Its description in RNAcentral is "eukaryotic LSU rRNA". The stretch from base 273 to 424 matches the Rfam family "5.8S ribosomal RNA". Lineage: Eukaryota; Fungi. The record is from RNAcentral.